CUGCUCUCCUGCAGCAUCAGGCAGCAUGACAACCCAGCGAUGGAUUCUGGCAUUCUGCCUUUCACUGGCCUCAGUUUUUGGCACAGUGGAAUUGUUCAAGACCAAAAAAAGAAAAAAAAAAAAAAAAAAAAAAAAAAA
This 138-nucleotide unclassified non-coding RNA is filed under the name Gasterosteus aculeatus (three-spined stickleback). Its description in RNAcentral is "partial SpgB". Lineage: Eukaryota; Metazoa; Chordata; Actinopteri; Perciformes; Gasterosteidae. The record is from RNAcentral.